RNAcentral lists this ribosomal RNA (539 nucleotides) under Bifidobacterium pseudocatenulatum. RNAcentral describes it as "bacterial SSU rRNA". It matches the Rfam family "Bacterial small subunit ribosomal RNA", at positions 161 to 711 of the family's 1533-position model. Lineage: Bacteria; Bacillati; Actinomycetota; Actinomycetes; Bifidobacteriales; Bifidobacteriaceae. The record is from RNAcentral.
UGGUAAUGCCGGAUGCUCCGACUCCUCGCAUGGGGUGUCGGGAAAGAUUUCAUCGGUAUGGGAUGGGGUCGCGUCCUAUCAGGUAGUCGGCGGGGUAACGGCCCACCGAGCCUACGACGGGUAGCCGGCCUGAGAGGGCGACCGGCCACAUUGGGACUGAGAUACGGCCCAGACUCCUACGGGAGGCAGCAGUGGGGAAUAUUGCACAAUGGGCGCAAGCCUGAUGCAGCGACGCCGCGUGCGGGAUGACGGCCUUCGGGUUGUAAACCGCUUUUGAUCGGGAGCAAGCCUUCGGGUGAGUGUACCUUUCGAAUAAGCACCGGCUAACUACGUGCCAGCAGCCGCGGUAAUACGUAGGGUGCAAGCGUUAUCCGGAAUUAUUGGGCGUAAAGGGCUCGUAGGCGGUUCGUCGCGUCCGGUGUGAAAGUCCAUCGCUUAACGGUGGAUCUGCGCCGGGUACGGGCGGGCUGGAGUGCGGUAGGGGAGACUGGAAUUCCCGGUGUAACGGUGGAAUGUGUAGAUAUCGGGAAAAAACACCA